CAGUAGCCGCGGGAAUACGGAGGGUGCAAGCGUUAAUCGGAAUUACUGGGCGUAAAGCGCACGCAGGCGGUUUGUUAAGUCAGAUGUGAAAUCCCCGAGCUUAACUUGGGAACUGCAUUUGAAACUGGCAAGCUAGAGUCUUGUAGAGGGGGGUAGAAUUCCAGGUGUAGCGGUGAAAUGCGUAGAGAUCUGGAGGAAUACCGGUGGCGAAGGCGGCCCCCUGGACAAAGACUGACGCUCAGGUGCGAAAGCGUGGGGAGCAAACAGGAUUAGAUACCCGUGUAGUCCCUGUCUCUUAUAC
Molecule: ribosomal RNA, 301 nt
Filed under: uncultured bacterium
Lineage: Bacteria
Description: partial 16S ribosomal RNA
Rfam family: Bacterial small subunit ribosomal RNA
Source: RNAcentral